RNAcentral lists this ribosomal RNA (787 nucleotides) under uncultured organism. Its description in RNAcentral is "bacterial SSU rRNA". It matches the Rfam family "Bacterial small subunit ribosomal RNA", at positions 20 to 827 of the family's 1533-position model. The record is from RNAcentral.
UGGCUCAGGAUGAACGCUGGCGGUGUGCUAAGGUAUGCAAGUCGAACGGUCCCUAUGAUUAUCAUUUGGACAGUGGCAGACUGGUGAGUAACGCGUGGAUAAUCUGCCCCGAAGAUGAGGAUAGCUCGCCGAAAGGUGAGGUAAUCCUCAAUGGUGUGGGAAGUACAUAUGUACAUCCCACUAAAGCUUUAGCGCUUCGGGAUGAGUCUGCGUCCUAUCAGCUUGUUGGUAGAGUAAAGGUCUACCAAGGCUAAGACGGGUAACUGGUCUGAGAGGAUGGUCAGUCACAGUGGCACUGAAACACGGGCCACACUCCUACGGGAGGCAGCAAUUAGGAAUCUUGCACAAUGGAGGAAACUCUGAUGCAGCGACACCGCGUGAAGGAUGAAGACCCUCGGGUUGUAAACUUCUUUUAUAAUCUAACAAGUUCUGAGUGGAGUAUGAAUAAGCACCUGCUAACUGCGUGCCGGAAGCAUCGGUGAAGCGUGGGGUGCGAGCGUUAUCCGGAUUUAUUGGGCGUAAAGAGAUGCGUAGGCGUUUUGGUAAGUCUUCUGUCAAAGCCUUCGGCCUAACCGAAGAAAGGCAGAGGAUACUAUCAGAAUUGAGACAGAGAGGGGGAAGUGGAAUUCCCGGUGGAGCGGUGAAAUGCGUUGAUAUCGGGAGGAACACCAGUGGCGAAGGCAACUUCCUGGCUCUGUUCUGACGCUGAGGCUCGAAAGCGUGGAGAGCAAAGCGGAUUAGAUACCCGUGUAGUCCAUGCUGUAAACGUUGGAUACUGGACGUUUGG